Molecule: ribosomal RNA, 619 nt
Filed under: uncultured Alphaproteobacteria bacterium
Lineage: Bacteria; Pseudomonadati; Pseudomonadota; Alphaproteobacteria
Description: bacterial SSU rRNA
Rfam family: Bacterial small subunit ribosomal RNA
Source: RNAcentral
AACGAAGGCUUCGGCCUUAGUGGCGCACGGGUGCGUAACGCGUGGGAAUCUGCCCUUGGGUACGGAAUAACAGCGAGAAAUUACUGCUAAUACCGUAUGAUGACGUAAGUCCAAAGAUUUAUCGCCCAAGGAUGAGCCCGCGUAGGAUUAGCUUGUUGGUGAGGUAAAGGCUCACCAAGGCGACGAUCCUUAGCUGGUCUGAGAGGAUGAUCAGCCACACUGGGACUGAGACACGGCCCAGACUCCUACGGGAGGCAGCAGUGGGGAAUAUUGGACAAUGGGCGAAGGCCUGAUCCAGCAAUGCCGCGUGAGUGAUGAAGGCCUUAGGGUUGUAAAGCUCUUUUGCCCGGGAAGAUAAUGACUGUACCGGGAGAAUAAGCCCCGGCUAACUCCGUGCCAGCAGCCGCGGUAAUACGGAGGGGGCUAGCGUUGUUCGGAAUUACUGGGCGUAAAGCGCACGUAGGCGGUCUAUCAAGUCAGAGGUGAAAGCCCGGAGCUCAACUUCGGAAUUGCCUUUGAAACUAGUAGACUUGAAUCACGGAGAGGUGGGUGGAAUUCCGAGUGUAGAGGUGAAAUUCGUAGAUAUUCGGAAGAACACCAGUGGCGAAGGCGGCCCACU